This is an RNA transcript of Pan troglodytes (chimpanzee), 5149 nucleotides long. It is a transcript of the gene named signal transducer and activator of transcription 3, with no coding region annotated. The transcript has 24 exons. NCBI's taxonomy places the organism in Eukaryota, Metazoa, Chordata, Mammalia, Primates, Hominidae. The record is from RefSeq and is a predicted model, not a curated record.
GGCCUUUCAUGAAUUAUGCAUGACGGCGUGCCUCGGCCAGGCUGGGGCUGGGCGAGGAUUGGCUGAAGGGGCUGUAAUUCAGCGGUUUCCGGAGCUGCGGCGGCGCAGACUGGGAGGGGGAGCCGGGGGUUCCGACGUCGCAGCCGAGGGAACAAGCCCCAACCGGAUCCUGGACAGGCACCCCGGCUUGGCGCUGUCUCUCCCCCUCGGCUCGGAGAGGCCCUUCGGCCUGAGGGAGCCUCGCCGCCCGUCCCCGGCGCACGCGCAGCCCCGGCCUCUCGGCCUCUCCCGGAGAAACAGUUGGGACCCCUGAUUUUAGCAGGAUGGCCCAAUGGAAUCAGCUACAGCAGCUUGACACACGGUACCUGGAGCAGCUCCAUCAGCUCUACAGUGACAGCUUCCCAAUGGAGCUGCGGCAGUUUCUGGCCCCUUGGAUUGAGAGUCAAGAUUGGGCAUAUGCGGCCAGCAAAGAAUCACAUGCCACUUUGGUGUUUCAUAAUCUCCUGGGAGAGAUUGACCAGCAGUAUAGCCGCUUCCUGCAAGAGUCGAAUGUUCUCUAUCAGCACAAUCUACGAAGAAUCAAGCAGUUUCUUCAGAGCAGGUAUCUUGAGAAGCCAAUGGAGAUUGCCCGGAUUGUGGCCCGGUGCCUGUGGGAAGAAUCACGCCUUCUACAGACUGCAGCCACUGCGGCCCAGCAAGGGGGCCAGGCCAACCACCCCACAGCAGCUGUGGUGACGGAGAAGCAGCAGAUGCUGGAGCAGCACCUUCAGGAUGUCCGGAAGAGAGUGCAGGAUCUAGAACAGAAAAUGAAAGUGGUAGAGAAUCUCCAGGAUGACUUUGAUUUCAACUAUAAAACCCUCAAGAGUCAAGGAGACAUGCAAGAUCUGAAUGGAAACAACCAGUCAGUGACCAGGCAGAAGAUGCAGCAGCUGGAACAGAUGCUCACUGCGCUGGACCAGAUGCGGAGAAGCAUCGUGAGUGAGCUGGCGGGGCUUUUGUCAGCGAUGGAGUACGUGCAGAAAACUCUCACGGACGAGGAGCUGGCUGACUGGAAGAGGCGGCAACAGAUUGCCUGCAUUGGAGGCCCGCCCAACAUCUGCCUAGAUCGGCUAGAAAACUGGAUAACGUCAUUAGCAGAAUCUCAACUUCAGACUCGUCAACAAAUUAAGAAACUGGAGGAGUUGCAGCAAAAAGUUUCCUACAAAGGGGACCCCAUUGUACAGCACCGGCCGAUGCUGGAGGAGAGAAUCGUGGAGCUGUUUAGAAACUUAAUGAAAAGUGCCUUUGUGGUGGAGCGGCAGCCCUGCAUGCCCAUGCAUCCUGACCGGCCCCUCGUCAUCAAGACCGGCGUCCAGUUCACUACUAAAGUCAGGUUGCUGGUCAAAUUCCCUGAGUUGAAUUAUCAGCUUAAAAUUAAAGUGUGCAUUGACAAAGACUCUGGGGACGUUGCAGCUCUCAGAGGAUCCCGGAAAUUUAACAUUCUGGGCACAAACACAAAAGUGAUGAACAUGGAAGAAUCCAACAACGGCAGCCUCUCUGCAGAAUUCAAACACUUGACCCUGAGGGAGCAGAGAUGUGGGAAUGGGGGCCGAGCCAAUUGUGAUGCUUCCCUGAUUGUGACUGAGGAGCUGCACCUGAUCACCUUUGAGACCGAGGUGUAUCACCAAGGCCUCAAGAUUGACCUAGAGACCCACUCCUUGCCAGUUGUGGUGAUCUCCAACAUCUGUCAGAUGCCAAAUGCCUGGGCGUCCAUCCUGUGGUACAACAUGCUGACCAACAAUCCCAAGAACGUAAACUUUUUUACCAAGCCCCCAAUUGGAACCUGGGAUCAAGUGGCCGAGGUCCUGAGCUGGCAGUUCUCCUCCACCACCAAGCGAGGACUGAGCAUCGAGCAGCUGACUACACUGGCAGAGAAACUCUUGGGACCUGGUGUGAAUUAUUCAGGGUGUCAGAUCACAUGGGCUAAAUUUUGCAAAGAAAACAUGGCUGGCAAGGGCUUCUCCUUCUGGGUCUGGCUGGACAAUAUCAUUGACCUUGUGAAAAAGUACAUCCUGGCCCUUUGGAACGAAGGGUACAUCAUGGGCUUUAUCAGUAAGGAGCGGGAGCGGGCCAUCUUGAGCACUAAGCCUCCAGGCACCUUCCUGCUAAGAUUCAGUGAAAGCAGCAAAGAAGGAGGCGUCACUUUCACUUGGGUGGAGAAGGACAUCAGCGGUAAGGGAGGCUCCCACCCACCCCACCUGCUGGUGGCUGCUGAGGACUCAUCACUGCUUCUAGUUGCAAGCACCUACUGCCCCCUGGUAAGACCCAGAUCCAGUCCGUGGAACCAUACACAAAGCAGCAGCUGAACAACAUGUCAUUUGCUGAAAUCAUCAUGGGCUAUAAGAUCAUGGAUGCUACCAAUAUCCUGGUGUCUCCACUGGUCUAUCUCUAUCCUGACAUUCCCAAGGAGGAGGCAUUCGGAAAGUAUUGUCGGCCAGAGAGCCAGGAGCAUCCUGAAGCUGACCCAGGUAGCGCUGCCCCAUACCUGAAGACCAAGUUUAUCUGUGUGACACCAACGACCUGCAGCAAUACCAUUGACCUGCCGAUGUCCCCCCGCACUUUAGAUUCAUUGAUGCAGUUUGGAAAUAAUGGUGAAGGUGCUGAACCCUCAGCAGGAGGGCAGUUUGAGUCCCUCACCUUUGACAUGGAGUUGACCUCGGAGUGCGCUACCUCCCCCAUGUGAGGAGCUGAGAACGGAAGCUGCAGAAAGAUACGACUGAGGCGCCUACCUGCAUUCCGCCACCCCUCACACAGCCAAACCCCAGAUCAUCUGAAACUACUAACUUUGUGGUUCCAGAUUUUUUUAAAUCUCCUACUUCUGCUAUCUUUGAGCAAUCUGGGCACUUUUAAAAAUAGAGAAAUGAGUGAAUGUGGGUGAUCUGCUUUUAUCUAAAUGCAAAUAAGGAUGUGUUCUCUGAGACCCAUGAUCAGGGGAUGUGGCGGGGGGUGGCUAGAGGGAGAAAAAGGAAAUGUCUUGUGUUGUUUUGUUCCCCUGCCCUCCUUUCUCAGCAGCUUUUUGUUAUUGUUGUUGUUGUUCUUAGACAAGUGCCUCCUGGUGCCUGCGGCAUCCUUCUGCCUGUUUCUGUAAGCAAAUGCCACAGGCCACCUGUAGCUACGUACUCCUGGCAUUGCACUUUUUAACCUUGCUGACAUCCAAAUAGAAGAUAGGACUAUCUAAGCCCUAGGUUUCUUUUUAAAUUAAGAAAUAAUAACAAUUAAAGGGCAAAAAACACUGUAUCAGCAUAGCCUUUCUGUAUUUAAGAAACUUAAGCAGCCGGGCAUGGUGGAUCACGCCUGUAAUCCCAGCACUUUGGGAGGCCGAGGCAGGUGGAUCAUAAGGUCAGGAGAUCAAGACCAUCCUGGCUAACACGGUGAAACCCCAUCUCUACUAAAAGUACAAAAAAUUAGCUGGGUGUGGUGGCAGGCGCCUGUAGUCCCAGCUACUCGGGAGGCUGAGGCAGGAGAAUAGCUUGAACCUGAGAGGCAGAGGUUGCAGUGAGCCAAAAUCGCACCACUGCACACUGCACUCCAUCCUGGGCGACAGUCUGAGACUCUGUCUCAAAAAAAAAAAAAAAAGAAAAAGAAACUUCAGUUAACAGCCUCCUUGGUGCUUUAAGCAUUCAGCUUCCUUCAGGCUGGUAAUUUAUAUAAUCCCUGAAACGGGCUUCAGGUCAAACCCUUAAGACAUCUGAAGCUGCAGCCUGGCCUUUGGUGUUGAAAUAGGAAGGUUUAAGGAGAAUCUAAGCAUUUUAGACUUUUUUUAAUAAAUAGACUUAUUUUCCUUUGUAAUGUAUUGGCCUUUUAGUGAGUAAGGCUGGGCAGAGGGUGCUUACAACCUUGACUCCCUUUCUCCCUGGACUUGAUCUGCUGUUUCAGAGGCUAGGUUGUUUCUGUGGGUGCCUUAUCAGGGCUGGGAUACUUCUGAUUCUGGCUUCCUUCCUCCCCCACCCUCCCGACCCCAGUCCCCCUGAUCCUGCUAGAGGCAUGUCUCCUUGCGUGUCUAAAGGUCCCUCGUCCUGUUUGUUUUAGGAAUCCUGGUCUCAGGACCUCAUGGAAGAAGAGGGGGAGAGAGUUACAGGUUGGACAUGAUGCACACUAUGGGGCCCCAGCGACGUGUCUGGUUGAGCUCAGGGAAUAUGGUUCUUAGCCAGUUUCUUGGUGAUAUCCAGUGGCACUUGUAAUGGCGUCUUCAUUCAGUUCAUGCAGGGCAAAGGCUUACUGAUAAACUUGAGUCUGCCCUCGUAUGAGGGUGUAUACCUGGCCUCCCUCUGAGGCUGGUGACUCCUCCCUGCUGGGGCCCCACAGGUGAGGCAGAACACCUAGAGGGCCUCCCCGCCUGCCCGCCUUGGCUGGCUAGCUCGCCUCUCCUGUGCGUAUGGGAACACCUAGCACGUGCUGGAUGGGCUGCCUCUGACUCAGAGGCAUGGCCGGAUUUGGCAACUCAAAACCACCUUGCCUCAGCUGAUCAGAGUUUCUGUGGAAUUCUGUUUGUUAAAUCAAAUUAGCUGGUCUCUGAAUUAAGGGGGAGACGACCUUCUCUAAGAUGAACAGGGUUCGCCCCAGUCCUCCUGCCUGGAGACAGUUGAUGUGUCAUGCAGAGCUCUUACUUCUCCAGCAACACUCUUCAGUACAUAAUAAGCUUAACUGAUAAACAGAGAGAAUAUUUAGAAAGGUGAGACUUGGGCUUACCAUUGGGUUUAAAUCAUAGGGACCUAGGGCGAGGGUUCAGGGCUUCUCUGGAGCAGAUAUUGUCAAGUUCAUGGCCUUAGGUAGCAUGUAUCUGGUCUUAACUCUGAUUGUAGCAAAAGUUCUGAGAGGAGCUGAGCCUUGUUGUGGCCCGUUAAAGAACAGGGUCCUCAGGCCCUGCCCGCUUCCUGUCCACUGCCCCCUCCCCAUCCCCAGCCCAGCCGAGGGAAUCCCGUGGGUUGCUUACCUACCUAUAAGGUGGUUUAUAAGCUGCUGUCCUGGCCACUGCAUUCAAAUUCCAAUGUGUACUUCAUAGUGUAAAAAUUUAUAUUAUUGUGAGGUUUUUUGUCUUUUUUUUUUUUUUUUUUGGUAUAUUGCUGUAUCUACUUUAACUUCCAGAAAUAAACGUUAUAUAGGAACCGUC